AUUCCCUCUUAGACAUUUGGGUUCUGUUAUACAAUUAGUAAGACCUUCACUACUGAGAUUAGAAGAGAAUUCUUCCAUUGUUUCUUUUAGUACUUGUUACGGCUUUUAAAAAAAAUAUUGAAAUAUUUGCUCAAUUUAGGUUGUAUCCUCAUGUAAACUGUGAGGAGUACAUACCAUUUAUGUUUUCCCAGUUGUCUAUUCAGUUAUUUCAAAACCAUUUACUCAAUUGUUCAUUCCAUUCUCCCCCUAUUGCUUGCCUUAUCACAUAUUAACUUAUUCUGUGUAUUUGGGUCUAUUUCUGUGAUUUCUAUUCUGUUAUUGUUUUAUCUCCCUAUUGAUAUUCUAAUAUAAAUAGAUCAUAUAGCAACACUACUCUGUUUUGAUACUAUAGCUUUAAAAUAUUAAAAAAUAUUGUAUAGCUAGUUACUCUCCAUAUCUCUUGUCAAUUUAAAUUUAAUAUUCUUUUUUUAAAAGGUUUUCUUUCUUUAUUUAACAGAGAGAGAGAGAGCACACAAGCAGGGAGAGCAGCAGAGGGAGAGUGAGAAACAGGCUUUCAGCUGAGUAGGGAGCCCAAUGCCGGGGCUGGGAUCAUGACCUGAGCUGAAGGCAGAGGCUUAACUGACUGAGCUACCCAAGCACCCCUAAAUUUAAUUUUCUAUAUUAACUUUAGCAUCAAGGUUAAGUUUUUAGAUUAAUUUAGGAAUGAUUACAUAUUUAUAAAAUUGAAUUUAAAAAAAUCUAAGAACACUAUAUGCCUUUCUAUUUGUUCAAGUAUUCUUUUGUGUCCCUAAGGAGCUUUAAGUAUAUUUCUUCAUUUAGAUCUUGCACAUUUUGUUAAUUGUAUUCCUAGGAAAUUUAUCUUUCUUUCCCCCACCCUGAUUGUAACUAGGGUCUUUAAUCCUUUAUUAUGUCUUUUAGCUGAUUGAUCCUAUGUGUAUAUAAGAUGUUUACUUCUAUAUAUUUAUUUUAGGGAAACAUGCCAUUUAUAAAUAUUUAGAAGUAUAUGCCUAUUAAAAUAGAAGGCAGUGUACAUAAUGGCGGUCUGAAGUCCCAUGAACUUAGCACCACCAUUUAUCGGCACUGUAACAAUAGGCAUGUUACUUAAUCUUUUUAAGAGAGGGAAGGGGAGAAAGAGAGAGUGAGUGAGCAGAGGGGUGGGGGACAGACACUCAGAGGGAGAGAGAGAGAGAGAGAACCUUAGGCAAGCUCCAUACUCAGCAUGGAGUCUGACUUGGGGCUUGAUCUCACAACCCUGAGAUCACAACCUGAGGUUAAAUCAAGAGUUGGAUGCCUAACCGUCUGAGCCACUCACCCAGGUAC
This 1320-nucleotide long non-coding RNA is filed under the name Canis lupus familiaris (dog). RNAcentral's name for it is "lncRNA (ENSCAFG00000057553.1)". The record is from RNAcentral. Lineage: Eukaryota; Metazoa; Chordata; Mammalia; Carnivora; Canidae.